RNAcentral lists this ribosomal RNA (394 nucleotides) under uncultured bacterium. Its description in RNAcentral is "bacterial SSU rRNA". It matches the Rfam family "Bacterial small subunit ribosomal RNA", at positions 29 to 429 of the family's 1533-position model. The record is from RNAcentral.
ACGAACGCUGGCGGCGUGCUUAACACAUGCAAGUCGAGCGGUAAGGCCCUUUCGGGGAUACACGAGCGGCGAACGGGUGAGUAACACGUGGGUGACCUGCCCUCAGCUCUGGGAUAAGCCUGGGAAACCGGGUCUAAUACCGGAUAUGACUCCAUGACGCAUGUUGUGGGGUGGAAAGCCUUGUGCGGCUGAGGAUGGGCCCGCGGCCUAUCAGCUUGUUGGGGGGUGAUGGCCUACCAAGGCGACGACGGGUAGCCGGCCUGAGAGGGCGACCGGCCACACUGGGACUGAGACACGGCCCAGACUCCUACGGGAGGCAGCAGUGGGGAAUCUUGCGCAAUGGGCGAAAGCCUGACGCAGCGACGCCGCGUGAGGGAUGACGGCCUGGUGUAAC